This 191-nucleotide ribosomal RNA is filed under the name Paenibacillus graminis. RNAcentral's name for it is "partial 16S ribosomal RNA". It matches the Rfam family "Bacterial small subunit ribosomal RNA", at positions 202 to 391 of the family's 1533-position model. Lineage: Bacteria; Bacillati; Bacillota; Bacilli; Caryophanales; Paenibacillaceae. The record is from RNAcentral.
GACGGAGAGUCUGUCACUGAGGGAUGUCUGCCUGCGGCGCAAUAGCUAGUUGGUGGGGUAACGGCCCACCAAGGCGACGAUGCGUAUCCCACCUGAGAGGGUGAACGGCCACACUGGGACUGAGACACGGCCCAGACUCCUACGGGAGGCAGCAGUAGGGAAUCUUCCGCAAUGGGCGAAAGCUGACGGAG